GAUGAUGAACGUAGUGAAAUGCGAUACGUAGUGUGAAUUGCAGAAUUCAGUGAAUCAUCGAAUCUUUGAACGCACAUUGCACCUCUCGGUAUUCCGGGAGGUAUGCCUGUUCGAGCGUCAUUUGUACCCUCAAGCUCUGCUUGGUGUUGGGUGUUUGUUCCGCCUCUGUGUGUGAACUCGCCUCAAAACAAUUGGCAGCCGGCGUACUUGUUUCGGAGCGCAGCACAUUUUGCGAUCCAGAUCAACGUACAGCGGCAUCCAAGAAGCCUUAUUUAACGCUCUUGACCUCGGAUCAGGUAGGGAUACCCGCUGAACUUAAGCAUAUCAAUAAGCGGAGGA
RNAcentral lists this unclassified non-coding RNA (339 nucleotides) under soil metagenome. RNAcentral's name for it is "partial contains 5.8S ribosomal RNA, internal transcribed spacer 2, and large subunit ribosomal RNA". The stretch from base 1 to 120 matches the Rfam family "5.8S ribosomal RNA", at positions 35 to 154 of the family's 154-position model. The record is from RNAcentral.